CGUAGGGUGCGAGCGUUAAUCGGAAUUACUGGGCGUAAAGUGUGCGCAGGUGCCCGCGCAAGUCGAGUGUGAAAUCCCCGAGCUUAACUUGGGAAUUGCGCUCGAAACUACGUGGCUCGAGUGUGGCAGAGGAAGGUGGAAUUCCACGUGUAGCGGUGAAAUGCGUAGAGAUGUGGAGGAACACCGAUGGCGAAGGCAGCCUUCUGGGCCAACACUGACGCUCAUGCACGAAAGCGUGGGGAGCAAACAGGAUUAGAUACCCUGGUAGUCCACGCCCUAAACGAUGAUGACUAGUUGUUGGGGGAGUUAAAUCCCUUAGUAACGCAGCUAACGCGUGAAGUCAUCCGCCUGGGGAGUACGGUCGCAAGAUUA
This 372-nucleotide ribosomal RNA is filed under the name uncultured organism. RNAcentral describes it as "bacterial SSU rRNA". It matches the Rfam family "Bacterial small subunit ribosomal RNA", at positions 526 to 896 of the family's 1533-position model. The record is from RNAcentral.